Rhagoletis zephyria (snowberry fruit fly) is the source of this 340-nucleotide long non-coding RNA. RefSeq lists it as uncharacterized. The record is from RefSeq and is a predicted model, not a curated record. NCBI's taxonomy places the organism in Eukaryota, Metazoa, Arthropoda, Insecta, Diptera, Tephritidae.
UAGUUUGUCACUCGCUCAUUACUCGUUCCAUUACAUCGAGUUAUGAAAAGAAUUUUUAAACGUACUUGGGGACGGUCGUGACAUUUUGUAUAUUUUAACUUCUUUUGAAAAACGUAAAAAUUUGAAAAUUCGCUUUAAAGUGAUAACGUAGUAAACGAGCAUUGUUUUUUGAUUACAAAUCACUAUUAAAUAAAAUUACUUCACAACUAAAUUUGUACAGAGAGAAACAAGACAAAGUAAAGUAAAGCUGAAGCAUUGAGAUAAAUUACAGCGAUAGGUAUCGUUGUAAACUACGAAAGAAGGGAAAGUGAGCAGUUAUUUAAUUGAGAAGAAAAAAAAA